RNAcentral lists this ribosomal RNA (506 nucleotides) under uncultured bacterium. RNAcentral describes it as "bacterial SSU rRNA". It matches the Rfam family "Bacterial small subunit ribosomal RNA", at positions 791 to 1297 of the family's 1533-position model. The record is from RNAcentral.
UAGUCCACGCCGUAAACGAUGAGUGCUAGUUGUUGGGCCUUGAGCUCGGUGACGUAGUUAACGCGUUAAGCACUCCGCCUGGGGAGUACGGUCGCAAGAUUAAAACUCAAAGGAAUUGACGGGGACCCGCACAAGCGGUGGAGCAUGUGGUUUAAUUCGAGGCAACGCGAAGAACCUUACCAGUCCUUGACAUCCCGAUCGCGAUUAAUGGAGACAUUUUUCUUCAGUUCGGCUGGAUCGGUGACAGGUGCUGCAUGGUUGUCGUCAGCUCGUGUCGUGAGAUGUUGGGCUAAGUCCCGCAACGAGCGCAACCCUUAUCCUUAGUUGCCAGCACAUAAUGGUGGGAACUCUAGGGAGACUGCCGGUGACAAACCGGAGGAAGGUGGGGAUGACGUCAAGUCAUCAUGGCCCUUACGGGUAGGGCUACACACGUGCUACAAUGGUCGGUACAAAGGGUUGCGAAGCCGCGAGGUGGAGCUAAUCUCAUAAACCGAUCGUAGUCCGGA